This 502-nucleotide ribosomal RNA is filed under the name Oligodon lacroixi. RNAcentral's name for it is "partial 12S ribosomal RNA". The record is from RNAcentral. Lineage: Eukaryota; Metazoa; Chordata; Lepidosauria; Squamata; Colubridae.
CCACUAUGCCCAGCCUUAACAAAACAAUCAAAUCACCCAUUGUUCGCCAAAUAACUACGAGUUACAACUUAAAAUUUAAAAGACUUGACGGUACCCCACAACAACCUAGAGGAGCCUGUCCAAUAAACGAUACUCCACGAUUAACCCUACCCACCAUAGCCCACCAGUCUAUAUACCGCCGUCGCCAGCCCACCUCAUGAGAGAAUAAAAGUGAGCCUAAUAGUCCCCACUAAUACGACAGGUCAAGGUGUAACUAAUGGGUGGGACCAAGAUGGGCUACAUUUUCUAACCCAGAACACACGAAUAAACUCUGAAAAAGAAACUGAAGGCGGAUUUAGCAGUAUAUUAAGAACAAAAUACUUAAUUGAAACCAACGCAAUGGGGUGCGCACACACCGCCCGUCAUCCCUGCCACUAAACAAACAUAUCCAUAAUAACAUAUUAAUACAAACCAGGGCAAGUCGUAACAUGGUAAGCGUACUGGAAAGUGCGCUUAGAACAAA